CACAUUUCUUGAGUGUCCCAGAUAAUUGGUGCUUGCAGAGAUCCUCUGAACCUUGUCAACUUUGUGGCAUCUCUUCUCAAUCAGAGUCUGAAAAGCAAGGAGGAUUAAAUGGGUUUUCUGAGUAGUUGAUGUUUGUAUGGCUCAUGAUUUUUGCUGUAAAUAGAACUUUGUCACAGUUAUAUGGUUAUCACCCCAUUAUUUGGCGAUUUUUAGCAUAUUUGUGGGGAUAGUUUUGUUCUUA
RNAcentral lists this unclassified non-coding RNA (241 nucleotides) under Hevea brasiliensis (rubber tree). Lineage: Eukaryota; Viridiplantae; Streptophyta; Magnoliopsida; Malpighiales; Euphorbiaceae. The record is from RNAcentral.